Molecule: long non-coding RNA, 707 nt
Organism: Numida meleagris (helmeted guineafowl)
Lineage: Eukaryota; Metazoa; Chordata; Aves; Galliformes; Numididae
Exons: 3
Source: RefSeq, a predicted model, not a curated record
GUGGUCAUGGCAUUCUGAGAAGUUAUAGGGGACACCAAAAAAAGGAGGCAUGCAAUAUUUUCAAAUGUAUGUCAUCAAAUAAACUCAUCAAUAUCAGACAUUAUUUAUGAGCAGUGCUGCACAGAGCCAACGACUUCUUUGCUUCUCGUGCUGCCCUGCUAGUGAGGAGCCGGAGAUACACAAGGUGUUGGGAAGGAACAGAAACAGGACAGUUGACUCAGACUCACCAGAAUGAUUUCCAUAUCAGAUGGCAUCAUGCUCAGAAAUAAAGCCUGCGAUAAAGAAGAAGGAAGAGGAGGAAGUUUGGAGUGAUGACAUUUGUCUUCCCAAGAAACGGUUAUAUGUGAUGAGUCCUAGAAGUGCUGAACAUGUCUGCUGAUAAGAAUUAGUGAUGAAUGCCUGCCUGUUCCUGCAGCAGCAAGGUUCAUGUUGCUUGGUACAGUCAGAGGAAGAGACCUUUUGCCUUUCUUCAGCAACCAAUUUCUUUCUUCAUCUGGAAAGAUCUGUAUCUAUUGGGACGAUAGAUGCAAUUGUAUACCACUUUGCCACCACAUUUCCUGUAUUUUCGUGCUUUAUGCAGAGCUGGAUUGUGGGUUCUGUAGGUUUUAUUUGUGUUGGAUGACUGGAAUAGGUUUUCAGAUUGUGUUUUCUGAAGAGUAACGACUGGUGCAUUAAGUUUUGUCAACAUUAUCUCCACAUCUUUUCUC